This 467-nucleotide ribosomal RNA is filed under the name uncultured bacterium. RNAcentral's name for it is "partial 16S ribosomal RNA". It matches the Rfam family "Bacterial small subunit ribosomal RNA", at positions 28 to 507 of the family's 1533-position model. The record is from RNAcentral.
GACGAACGCUGGCGGCGUGCUUAACACAUGCAAGUCGAACGGAAAGGCCUCUUUCGGGGGGUACUCGAGUGGCGAACGGGUGAGUAACACGUGAGUAACCUGCCCUUGUCUUUGGGAUAACUUCAGGAAACUAGGGCUAAUACCGGAUAGGAGCUCCUGCUGCAUGGUGGGGGUUGGAAAGUUUCGGCGGUUGGGGAUGGACUCGCGGCUUAUCAGCUUGUUGGUGGGGUAGUGGCUUACCAAGGCUUUGACGGGUAGCCGGCCUGAGAGGGUGACCGGCGACAUUGGGACUGAGAUACGGCACAGACUCCGACGGGAGGCAGCAGUGGGGAAGAGUGCACAAGGGGUGGCAGCCUGAUGCAGCAACGCCGUGUGCGGGAUGACGGCCUUCGGGUUGUAAACCGCUUUCGCUCAUGACGAAGCUUUGUGUGACGGUAGUGGGUAAAGAAGCACCGGCUAACUACGUG